RNAcentral lists this long non-coding RNA (332 nucleotides) under Homo sapiens (human). Its description in RNAcentral is "non-protein coding lnc-DUSP15-1:1". The record is from RNAcentral. Lineage: Eukaryota; Metazoa; Chordata; Mammalia; Primates; Hominidae.
CCUGGCGCCCCCACAACUGAGCCAACCAAGCCUCCCUACAGCUACAUCGCCCUUAUUGCUAUGGCCAUCCAGAGCUCACCGGGGCAGCGGGCCACCCUCAGUGGCAUCUACCGCUACAUCAUGGGCCGAUUCGCCUUCUACCGCCACAACCGGCCCGGCUGGCAGAACAGCAUCCGCCACAACCUGUCACUCAACGAGUGCUUUGUCAAGGUGCCCCGCGAUGACCGCAAGCCAGGCAAGGGCAGCUACUGGACGCUGGACCCUGACUGCCACGACAUGUUUGAGCACGGCAGCUUCCUACGCCGCCGCCGCCGCUUCACCCGGCAGACAGG